GACGUACGCUGGCGGCGUGCUUAACACAUGCAAGUCGAACGGAAAGGCCCUGCUUUUGUGGGGUGCUCGAGUGGCGAACGGGUGUGUAACACGUGAGUAACCUGCCCUUGACUUUGGGAUAACUUCAGGAAACUGGGGCUAAUACCGGAUAGGAGCUCCUGCUGCAUGGUGGGGGUUGGAAAGUUUCGGCGGUUGGGGAUGGACUCGCGGCUUAUCAGCUUGUUGGUGGGGUAGUGGCUUACCAAGGCUUUGACGGGUAGCCGGCCUGAGAGGGUGACCGGCCACAUUGGGACUGAGAUACGGCCCAGACUCCUACGGGAGGCAGCAGUGGGGAAUAUUGCACAAUGGGCGGAAGCCUGAUGCAGCAACGCCGCGUGCGGGAUGACGGCCUUCGGGUUGUAAACCGCUUUCGCCUGUGACGAAGCGUGAGUGACGGUAAUGGGUAAAGAAGCACCGGCUAACUACGUG
RNAcentral lists this ribosomal RNA (468 nucleotides) under uncultured bacterium. RNAcentral's name for it is "partial 16S ribosomal RNA". It matches the Rfam family "Bacterial small subunit ribosomal RNA", at positions 28 to 507 of the family's 1533-position model. The record is from RNAcentral.